UACGUAGGGACCAAGCGUUGUUCGGAUUUACUGGGCGUAAAGAGCUCGUAGGCGGUCUGUUGCGUCUGCUGUGAAAACCCGGGGCUUAACCCCUGGCUUGCAGUGGAUACGGACAGACUAGAGGUAGGUAGGGGAGAAUGGAAUUCCCGGUGUAGCGGUGAAAUGCGCAGAUAUCAGGAGGAACACCGGUGGCGAAGGCGGGUCUCUGGGCCGAUACUGACGCUGAGGAGCGAAAGCGUGGGGAGCAAACAGG
This 253-nucleotide ribosomal RNA is filed under the name uncultured bacterium. RNAcentral's name for it is "partial 16S ribosomal RNA". It matches the Rfam family "Bacterial small subunit ribosomal RNA", at positions 524 to 776 of the family's 1533-position model. The record is from RNAcentral.